GCGACUAAGCGUACACGGUGGAUGCCCUGGCAGUCAGAGGCGAUGAAGGGCGUACUAAUCUGCGAUAAGCGCCGGUAAGGUGAUAUGAACCGUUAUAACCGGCGAUACCCGAAUGGGGAAACCCAGUGUGAUUCGUCACACUAUCAUUAACUGAAUCCAUAGGUUAAUGAGGCGAACCGGGGGAACUGAAACAUCUAAGUACCCCGAGGAAAAGAAAUCAACCGAGAUUCCCCCAGUAGCGGCGAGCGAACGGGGAGGAGCCCAGAGCCUGAAUCAGCAUGUGUGUUAGUGGAAGCGUCUGGAAAGGCGCGCGAUACAGGGUGACAGCCCCGUACACAAAAGCGCAUGUGCUGUGAGCUCGAUGAGUAGGGCGGGACACGUGGUAUCCUGUCUGAAUAUGGGGGGACCAUCCUCCAAGGCUAAAUACUCCUGACUGACCGAUAGUGAACCAGUACCGUGAGGGAAAGGCGAAAAGAACCCCGGCGAGGGGAGUGAAAAAGAACCUGAAACCGUGUACGUACAAGCAGUGGGAGCACCCUUUGGGUGUGACUGCGUACCUUUUGUAUAAUGGGUCAG
This 576-nucleotide ribosomal RNA is filed under the name Salmonella enterica subsp. enterica serovar Enteritidis. Its description in RNAcentral is "partial 23S ribosomal RNA". It matches the Rfam family "Bacterial large subunit ribosomal RNA", at positions 1 to 623 of the family's 2925-position model. Lineage: Bacteria; Pseudomonadati; Pseudomonadota; Gammaproteobacteria; Enterobacterales; Enterobacteriaceae. The record is from RNAcentral.